Molecule: long non-coding RNA, 3465 nt
Organism: Globicephala melas (long-finned pilot whale)
Lineage: Eukaryota; Metazoa; Chordata; Mammalia; Artiodactyla; Delphinidae
Source: RefSeq, a predicted model, not a curated record
UGGAGGCGGAGGGAGGGCGCGAGCUGCCCGGCCUGGAGGUGCGGAAGUUCGCCGCCGCUGUUCAUUGGCAGGCAGCGCCGCUUUCAUCAUUUCUCAGAAAAGUCAAUUUCAUUUUCACUUACCCACGUCGCGGCAGCGGGAGCAACAAGCAGCUGCGCCAUGCAGGGCUCUUAGUUCCCUGACCAGCAAUCGAACCUGUGCCCCCUGCAGUGGAAGCAUGGAGUCUUACCCACUGGACCGCCGGGGAAGUCCCUCUAGAUGGACAUCCUAGGACCGUCUACCUGGAUGCAUCAGAACUCAUUUCUUUUCAAGGGAGUCGAGAAAGGACUGGUUACUUGGCCAUGCAGCAAUUGACCUCUCCAUGAUUGAAGCUUAAAGAUACAUUCAAGAAAGUUUCAUCUCCACUACAUCCAAAAGGUGCACGUACACCUCUCGGCGCUGCCUCCUUCUCCUGGAUGCAACUCCAAGACAUUUCCUAGCCGUGCUCCUCAGGUAAGAACAUGGCAAGACCAACCCCUGCUCUCCUGGAGCUUACAUUCUAGUGGGGGUGAUGUCAACAGACAGACAAACAAACCAAGAAAAUAGUUAAAGAUUUGUAUCCGUGUUCUGAGGGAAACAAACACGACUUUGGAUAGAAAAUACUGGGGGAUCUAGGUGGUCAAGGAAGGUUUCUCAAGGAGAAAAUGACAUUUAAGCCAAAACUUGGAGGAGAGGAGACUGUAUUCGUUUCCUGGGGCUGCCAUAACACAGUACCACAAGCCAGGUGGCGGAAGUAACAGAAACGCAUUGCCUCCCAGUUCUGGAAGCUGGAAGUCCCAGAUCAAGGUGUCCACAGGGUUGGCUCCUUCUGAGGGUUAUGGGGGAAGGAUCUGUUCCUUGCCUCCUGGCUUCUGGUGUUGGCCAGCAAUCCUGGGCAUUCUUUGGCUGGUAGCAGCAUCACUCCAUCUCUCCCUUCAUCUUCACGUGGUGUUCUCCCUGGAUGUGUGUCUGUAUCCAAAUUUCCCCAUUUUACAGGGACACUAGUCUUAUUGGAUUAGGGGCCCACCAUACUCCAAUACGAUCUCAUCUUAAUUCAUUACAUCUGCAAAGACAAUCUGAGGUAUUGGGGGAUUAGGAUCUCACUAUAUGAAUUUUGAGGGGGACACACUUCAACACGUAACUGAUAUCAAUUGUGUGAUGAAGCCCCGAGCCAGGGGGAAGACUGAACACAAAGGCCAUGAAAAGCAAAAGGGUCUGGCAUAUUCUGGAAACCAAAAGAAGGUGAAUGUGACUUAAGAGUUCUGAAUGAGGGUAAGAAGGACACAGGCAGGUGGGCAGAGGCCAGAUCAAGGACUUUGGAUUUUAUUCUAAGAUCAAUGGCAAGAUUUUGAAGGGUUCUGUGGUUUUAAAAGGUCAUGCUAUAAAUUUCCCAACUGUCUCAACAUCAAUGAAAUGCAAGGAUUUCUUAAUUUGUGUAUUUCUCAGAAGAAUUUGUAACUGUUCUUGCACUGACCUCUCAGUUCAUUACAUGAUGAAUUUGUUGAGGAAACAAUGCAUUGGGGAUAUUUUGAAACAGUUUAAUUCUUUUUCAUUUCUUUUUGGCAUUCCUAAGGUAUUUCCUUCCCUUUAACUUUCUGUCUGAUUUUCAUCUCCACAAAUAAAUGAAGUAAAUUUUUACUUCAUUCUUUUUACCCUAUCCCCAUAAAAACUUCCCUUAAAAAAAAGGACGAUAUAUUCAACUGUGGAUUCCAGGCACGUGCUAUUUUCCUGUUUUGAGUGAAUGAUGAUAAUUUUCAGAGAUUGUGUCACCACAAAAUCAACAUUCAUUCCAAAAUUUAAUGGUUUCAAAUGUAUUUCUUUUUUUGAUUUCUAAAAAUUUUCAAAUUUCUUUUCCAUCAGAAACCCCUUGUGUGUAAUAAAUAGUUUCCACAAAACUGAAUUUUUGUUGGCAGAACAAUCGGCGUAAGUAAAACUUCACGAUUUGCCUUGGAUGUUUUGUAAUUUGAAAGCAAAUGUUGGUUUAAACAGCCCACCAUAUAUUUUGUCAAUGUCCAGCUGUGGAUGCUGGGUUUUUAGCACCACUUCUUUCCGGACAGCCAAAAAAAAAAAAAUAUCACUUUCUUUCCUGUUUUACAUAUUGAGGUUCUGCAUAAGAUUUCAUUUGGGGAAAAGGUUCUGUCGCUUUAUAAAAAACAUGGAAAAAAGAUCAAAGCCACCAAUACUACUGGCAGUUUGUUUUGCUUCAUUUUCCUAUAACUGGAGAUAUGAAAGAAAACACGACAAACCAUAAGUGAAGAACCUUAAGACUGAAGGAGAGAAAGAAAUACGCAGACCCAGGAACAGACGCCCGAGGGAGGGUUGAUGGGGGACCAGGAUGUAUUAUAAAGAACGAAGAUCGAGAUGAAAAGAAAGGUUCCUAUUUUGAUCUCCUUUUUGCAAAGACAACAGUGGACACCCCCAAAAAAGUUUUAAUUCGAAAGGAUAAAGGUGUAGAUAUGAAGCUGUUAAUAAUGGUCACCUUAAGGACAGUUAAGGAUCUGGAAAUGAGAUCAUUCUGGACCAUCCUGGUGGGCCCUCAAUCCAAAGACAAGUGUCCUUAUAAAAGAAGAGAAGAAGACACACCCACAGAGGACAAAUCCACGUGAGGACAAAGGCGAGACUACAGGGAUGCAGCUGCAAAAGCCAAGGAAUGCUCGGAACCACGGGAAACUGGAAGAGGCGAGGAAGGAUUCUCCCCAGAGCCGUCCUGGGCCAAGAACUACGGUCGGCUUUCUAGUUCCUGUUCUCUCUUCCUAGAACGUUCUUCUCCAGCUCUUUGCAUGGCUGCUUUGUUCCAUGAGGUCUCACUUAACAUGGGCAAAACCAGCAGAAGGUCAUACACUAUCAGACCGCAUCUCUUACCUACAAGAGGAUCCCUGGCUAGAGAGGUUGGAUUGAAGGUUCCUUCUUUCCUUUCUGGCAGCAGCGAGGAAAGGAGAAGCUUUCUGGAGGCCAGGCUCCGAAGCGCACUGAGCUGGUGAUCCCUCCUGCAGUCGGUGUGAAUGGACGCUCCUAACCUGCAAAGUAGAGCCUACGGAGCUGCAGGAAGGGAGGGUGAGCUCCAUCUCCCAGGCUCCAGGGAACAGAGGAGCCUUCAGAGACCCUCCCCGGCCCUGUCAGACGAUAGCCAGCGAAGCGGUGGGCACUGCCCAGAACUCUUGGCGUACUGUGUGAACAAGGGAAGGAGGGUGAGGUGUUCUUGCAUCACAGUGCCCUGGUCCACAGGAGAAGUCAGUCGCCCUGUGGAUAAAAAGGAACCUAGGGGCAGGACAGGAAUAAAGACGCAGACGUACAGAAUGGACUUGAGGGCACGGGGAGGGGGAGGGGUCAGCUGGGACAAAGUGAGAGAGUGGCAUGGACAUAUAUACACUACCAAAUGUAAAAUAGAUAGCUGGUGGGAAGCAGCCGCAUAGCACAGGGAGAUCAGCUUGGUGCUUUGUGACCACC